RNAcentral lists this long non-coding RNA (1130 nucleotides) under Fukomys damarensis (Damara mole-rat). Its description in RNAcentral is "lncRNA (ENSFDAG00000031068.1)". Lineage: Eukaryota; Metazoa; Chordata; Mammalia; Rodentia; Bathyergidae. The record is from RNAcentral.
GGAAUUUAAGAGAAAACGUCAAACACGCCGUGACAUCCAAAACGCAUUCGGCUGUUUGCUUUUACUGUAGAGACUUUCAUCCACCAGUCUACUCCGGCUUCCACACCUAGUGUUUUUGUGUACUAGGCUAAAAAUAGCCCGCAGCGCCUAACAACUAGCUUCCGAUUGGCUGCGAGCAAAGGCUAGUCAGCCAAUGAGAGGUUCUGGGAACAAAGGCAAUUCUUUUGUGUGAGAGAUGCUCAACCCACGUCAAACAGCUUCGGGCUGGAAAAACGAUUUGAGUUGAGAUUUAGCAAGGUAAUAAUGCAUUUCAGCCCUCCGAAAGGUUUGAAGCGGAACAAAGGUGGGGAUGGGGCAAUGAAGUCUAUAAAACAAAUGGAGGCUCGGACAGAUUUGGGACGAAUCAUCCCGGAGCCGGAGCUGCAGGUUGGGAGGCACAGAAAUAAAAGACUCCGGUUUCGCUCUUUCUGAGACCCCCCACCCCCAAGUUAUUUUUUCGGGCGUUUUCUCCACCGAAACUAACAGCAGUCAAAGGCGUUGUGUUCUGACUUGUAGAAGUUCGUUAUGUUGAUUGACCGGUGAACAGGAAGCGACCCGUCCAGGAUUCCUUUAAAUCUCACAAACAGGAAACAAAAGACCUAUGUCCCGUGGAUGGUAGUAAAGCACCAGGAAAUUCGGAUUUUGAUUUCUGGACACCGAAAUCGGCUCACUUUCCCAAAGUAAAGUUAUGCUGCUCACUCGCUCAGGCCCCAGCUCUGACAGCUGCCCCUGUGCUAUCAGAUAUCAGAGAGGAGCUCAGCUUGACUGAACAUGACCUCUUCCCCACCCACCAGGACAGCUCUGAUGCUGAAGUCCAGAGUGUGCAGGCCUUACCUUCCUCACCUUCCUACAGGCCUAAAGUGUCCUUCACGGAAAACCCAAACUGCUCUCUCUUCAUAGCCGGUAACUAUUAAAUAAAGCUUUACAUAAAAGAUAUCUUUUUCAGAAUAUGAUCACUCUUUCUGUUUCUUCCUUGCUCCCCUACUGUUUUUCACUCACGUGCUCCACUCCAGGGAGUAACGGACAGACGAUGCAUCAGACUUAUCCCUUCUGACUGAGCAGUGCAAAGCAAGAGAAGAGAAAGGAAAGCC